RNAcentral lists this ribosomal RNA (399 nucleotides) under uncultured bacterium. RNAcentral describes it as "partial 16S ribosomal RNA". It matches the Rfam family "Bacterial small subunit ribosomal RNA", at positions 360 to 776 of the family's 1533-position model. The record is from RNAcentral.
AAUAUUGCACAAUGGAGGAAACUCUGAUGCAGCGACGCCGCGUGGGUGAUGAAGGCCUUCGGGUUGUAAAGCCCUUUCGUCGGGGACGCUGAUGACGGUACCCGCAGAAGAACCCCCGGCUAACUUCGUGCCAGCAGCCGCGGUAAUACGAAGGGGGCUAGCGUUGUUCGGAAUUACUGGGCGUAAAGGGCGCGUGGGCGGUCCCGAUCGUCGGAUGUGAAAGCCCCGGGCUUAACCUGGGAACGGCAUUCGAUACGGCGGGGCUAGAGUGUGGGAGAGGAUGGUGGAAUUCCCAGUGUAGAGGUGAAAUUCGUAGAUAUUGGGAAGAACACCGGUGGCGAAGGCGGCCAUCUGGACCACAACUGACGCUGAGGCACGAAAGCGUGGGGAGCGAACAGG